RNAcentral lists this ribosomal RNA (468 nucleotides) under uncultured bacterium. RNAcentral's name for it is "partial 16S ribosomal RNA". It matches the Rfam family "Bacterial small subunit ribosomal RNA", at positions 28 to 507 of the family's 1533-position model. The record is from RNAcentral.
GACGAACGCUGGCGGCGUGCUUAACACAUGCAAGUCGAACGGAAAGGCCCUGCUUUUGUGGGGUGCUCGAGUGGCGAACGGGUGAGUAACACGUGAGUAACCUGCCCUUGACUUUGGGAUAACUUCAGGAAACUGGGGCUAAUACCGGAUAGGACCUCCUGCUGCAUGGUGGGGGGUGGAGAGUUUCGGCGGUUGGGGAUGGACUCGCGGCUUAUCAGCUUGUUGGUGGGGUAGUGGCUUACCAAGGCUUUGACGGGUAGCCGGCCUGAGAGGGUGAACGGCCACAUUGGGACUGAGAUACGGCCCAGACUCCUACGGGAGGCAGCAGUGGGGAAUAUUGCACAAUGGGCGGAAGCCUGAUGCAGCAACGCCGCGUGCGGGAUGACGGCCUUCGGGUUGUAAACCGCUUUCGCCUGUGACGAAGCGUGAGUGACGGUAAUGGGUAAAGAAGCACCGGCUAACUACGUG